Molecule: non-coding RNA, 45 nt
Organism: Schistosoma curassoni
Lineage: Eukaryota; Metazoa; Platyhelminthes; Trematoda; Strigeidida; Schistosomatidae
Source: Rfam
AUUUAGCUGACGAGUCGCAAAUAGGAAGAAUUGCGCGUCCUGAAU